UACGAAGGGGGCUAGCGUUGCUCGGAAUUACUGGGCGUAAAGCGCACGUAGGCGGCUUUCUAAGUCGGGGGUGAAAUCCUGGAGCUCAACUCCAGAACUGCCUUCGAUACUGGAGAGCUUGAGUCCGGGAGAGGUGAGUGGAACUGCGAGUGUAGAGGUGAAAUUCGUAGAUAUUCGCAAGAACACCAGUGGCGAAGGCGGCUCACUGGCCCGGUACUGACGCUGAGGUGCGAAAGCGUGGGGAGCAAGCAGG
Molecule: ribosomal RNA, 253 nt
Filed under: uncultured bacterium
Lineage: Bacteria
Description: partial 16S ribosomal RNA
Rfam family: Bacterial small subunit ribosomal RNA
Source: RNAcentral